CCCUUAGAUGUUCUGGGCUGCACGCGCGCUACACUGACACACGCAACGAGUCUCCUGCCCUGACAGGGUCGGGUAAUCAUUUGAGUGUGUGUCGUGAUGGGGAUAGGGUAUUGCAAUUAUUGCUCUUGAACGAGGAAUUCCUAGUAAGCACAAGUCAGCAGCUUGUGCUGAUUACGUCCCUGCCCUUUGUACACACCGCCCGUCGCUCCUACCGAGGGGGUGAUCCGGUGAAUGAUUCGGACUCUGGUGCUUCUAGCUGCUAGAUGCGCCGGAGGAAGUUUUGUGAACCUUAUCACUUGGAGGAAGGAGAAGUCGUAACA
RNAcentral lists this ribosomal RNA (320 nucleotides) under uncultured eukaryote. Its description in RNAcentral is "partial 18S ribosomal RNA". It matches the Rfam family "Eukaryotic small subunit ribosomal RNA", at positions 1470 to 1796 of the family's 1831-position model. The record is from RNAcentral.